Arvicanthis niloticus (Nile rat) is the source of this 130-nucleotide non-coding RNA. NCBI's taxonomy places the organism in Eukaryota, Metazoa, Chordata, Mammalia, Rodentia, Muridae. The record is from RefSeq and is a predicted model, not a curated record.
UCUGGCACUAGAGGUGUUAGAGUAGUGACUGCUAUGACACACGUGUAUCAGCCAGUAGGUUGCAGAGAGGGGAAAGACUCUGCUGAGUGUUGUGACCUACAAACAUCUGAAUGACUAGUAGCCUAACAUU